This 1026-nucleotide ribosomal RNA is filed under the name Cladosporium cladosporioides. RNAcentral's name for it is "SSU rRNA". It matches the Rfam family "Eukaryotic small subunit ribosomal RNA", at positions 76 to 1121 of the family's 1831-position model. The record is from RNAcentral. Lineage: Eukaryota; Fungi; Ascomycota; Dothideomycetes; Cladosporiales; Cladosporiaceae.
AUACCGUGAAACUGCGAAUGGCUCAUUAAAUCAGUUAUCGUUUAUUUGAUAAUACCUUACUACUUGGAUAACCGUGGUAAUUCUAGAGCUAAUACAUGCUGAAAAUCCCGACUUCGGAAGGGAUGUGUUUAUUAGAUAAAAAACCAAUGCCCUUCGGGGCUUUUUGGUGAUUCAUGAUAACUUUACGGAUCGCAUAGCCUUGCGCUGGCGACGGUUCAUUCAAAUUUCUGCCCUAUCAACUUUCGAUGGUAAGGUAUUGGCUUACCAUGGUUUCAACGGGUAACGGGGAAUUAGGGUUCGAYUCCGGAGAGGGAGCCUGAGAAACGGCUACCACAUCCAAGGAAGGCAGCAGGCGCGCAAAUUACCCAAUCCCGACACGGGGAGGUAGUGACAAUAAAUACUGAUACAGGGCUCUUUUGGGUCUUGUAAUUGGAAUGAGUACAAUUUAAAUCCCUUAACGAGGAACAAUUGGAGGGCAAGUCUGGUGCCAGCAGCCGCGGUAAUUCCAGCUCCAAUAGCGUAUAUUAAAGUUGUUGCAGUUAAAAAGCUCGUAGUUGAACCUUGGGCCUGGCUGGCCGGUCCGCCUCACCGCGUGUACUGGUCCGGCCGGGCCUUUCCUUCUGGGGAACCUCAUGCCCUUCACUGGGCGUGUUGGGGAACCAGGACUUUUACUUUGAAAAAAUUAGAGUGUUCAAAGCAGGCCUUUGCUCGAAUACAUUAGCAUGGAAUAAUAGAAUAGGACGUGUGGUUCUAUUUUGUUGGUUUCUAGGACCGCCGUAAUGAUUAAUAGGGAUAGUCGGGGGCAUCAGUAUUCAAUCGUCAGAGGUGAAAUUCUUGGAUUGAUUGAAGACUAACUACUGCGAAAGCAUUUGCCAAGGAUGUUUUCAUUAAUCAGUGAACGAAAGUUAGGGGAUCGAAGACGAUCAGAUACCGUCGUAGUCUUAACCAUAAACUAUGCCGACUAGGGAUCGGACGGUGUUAGUAUUUUGACCCGUUCGGCACCUUACGAGAAAUCAAAGUUUUUGG